This 253-nucleotide ribosomal RNA is filed under the name uncultured bacterium. RNAcentral describes it as "partial 16S ribosomal RNA". It matches the Rfam family "Bacterial small subunit ribosomal RNA", at positions 524 to 776 of the family's 1533-position model. The record is from RNAcentral.
UACGAAGGGGGCUAGCGUUGUUCGGAUUUACUGGGCGUAAAGCGCACGUAGGCGGAUUGUUAAGUCAGGGGUGAAAGCCUGGAGCUCAACUCCAGAACUGCCUUUGAUACUGAGGAGCUUGAGUCCGGGAGAGGUGAGUGGAACUGCGAGUGUAGAGGUGAAAUUCGUAGAUAUUCGCAAGAACACCAGUGGCGAAGGCGGCUCACUGGCCCGGUACUGACGCUGAGGUGCGAAAGCGUGGGGAGCAAACAGG